RNAcentral lists this ribosomal RNA (250 nucleotides) under uncultured bacterium. RNAcentral's name for it is "partial 16S ribosomal RNA". It matches the Rfam family "Bacterial small subunit ribosomal RNA", at positions 524 to 775 of the family's 1533-position model. The record is from RNAcentral.
UACGUAGGGGGCUAGCGUUGUUCGGAAUUACUGGGCGUAAAGCGUGCGCAGGCGGUGAUGUAAGACAGGUGUGAAAUCCCCGGGCUUAACCUGGGAACUGCAUUUGUGACUGCAUCGCUGGAGUGCGGCAGAGGGGGAUGGAAUUCCGCGUGUAGCAGUGAAAUGCGUAGAUAUGCGGAGGAACACCGAUGGCGAAGGCAGCUCCCUGGCCGCACUGACGCUCAUACACGAAAGCGUGGGGAGCAAACAG